GGGCUUUUAUUUCACUAACAGAGCAGCAGUAGUGUCUCCCCACAUCAGUUUUUAUGUGACCUGCUCCAACCAGACAGCAAAACCUGAGAAUUUUUGUCAGAGCAUUAUAUAGAGAUCAACAAUUUACCUAUUGCUACAAUCCUGACCCAAACUUAUCUUAAGAUGGAUGAUUUAACCAGACAAGAAGUGAGGGUGAGUAGAAGCUCCACUGUAAUUAGACAAAACCAAAGGGGAGCUUUAAAGCUUGAGAGGAAAGCCGUCACCUGAAGGCUGCAUGCCUACAAGAGAAUAAAUAAUGGCCUACAUAGGAAGAAAAUGUUUCAUCAUCAUGUUGGUUCUAUUAGUGGGUGAAAGAUUCUUCUAAAGUUCAAAGCCAUAUUCUCCAGUGCUGUAUUUGGUUAACUCCUUUAGUCUGUUCCACAUGGAUCAGGACUUUGGAUUUUGGCAUGGUAGAAGAGUUUCCAAAAAUUUGCCUCAGAAGUGUCAAAAGGUACAUCAGACCUGAUCGCUGAAUAUGCUCCAGCUCCACGGUCUCCCUCAGGCCUCCCAAGGUCCAUCCGUCCUCAGCCUACACAUCCAGCCUUCCCUCCAGUGGAAACCAAGGCAGCAGAGAGAUGGCAGGGGGUAGUUCACAUGCACACAGGUUUUAGCCAUGUGCAAAGUCAGCACAACAGCAUUCUGGUUUAAACAGAGUCAAAGAGUUUUUGCAAAUGACUUAUCCCUCUGAAAAUUCGCUCGAGUACUUCUUCCUCUGUUUAUGCUUAGAGCAUUGCUCUGUCCCACUUAUGUAGAACAUGCUUGUUUCUGUUGCUUACUUAGCAGGCCGGAAUUUGAGAGACAGACUAGAGAAUUUGGCAAAAUCUGAAGUUCUGGAAAUUAAAACAGAAAUGGAAAUUUUUGCAUAUAAUAAUAGAUAGGAAAUCUAAAUUUCAGUUCGGCAAUAAAAGGUAAUUCCUGGAGUUUGC
This is a long non-coding RNA of Pygoscelis adeliae (Adelie penguin), 965 nucleotides long. RefSeq lists it as uncharacterized. NCBI's taxonomy places the organism in Eukaryota, Metazoa, Chordata, Aves, Sphenisciformes, Spheniscidae. The record is from RefSeq and is a predicted model, not a curated record. The transcript is spliced from 4 exons.